This 464-nucleotide ribosomal RNA is filed under the name uncultured bacterium. RNAcentral's name for it is "partial 16S ribosomal RNA". It matches the Rfam family "Bacterial small subunit ribosomal RNA", at positions 28 to 506 of the family's 1533-position model. The record is from RNAcentral.
GACGAACGCUGGCGGCGUGCUUAACACAUGCAAGUCGUACGGUAAGGCCCUUUCGGGGGUACACGAGUGGCGAACGGGUGAGUAACACGUGAGUAACCUGCCCACAACUUUGGGAUAACGCUAGGAAACUGGUGCUAAUACUGGAUAUGUGCUCCUGCUGCAUGGUGGGGGUUGGAAAGCUCCGGCGGUUGUGGAUGGACUCGCGGCCUAUCAGCUUGUUGGUGGGGUAGUGGCCUACCAAGGCGGCGACGGGUAGCCGGCCUGAGAGGGUGACCGGCCACAUUGGGACUGGGAUACGGCCCAGACUCCUACGGGAGGCAGCAGUGGGGAAUAUUGCACAAUGGGCGCAAGCCUGAUGCAGCAACGCCGCGUGCGGGAUGACGGCCUUCGGGUUGUAAACCGCUUUCAGCAGGGACGAAGCUUUUUGUGACGGAACCUGCAGAAGAAGCACCGGCUAACUACGU